Rosa rugosa (rugosa rose) is the source of this 1037-nucleotide long non-coding RNA. RefSeq lists it as uncharacterized. The transcript is spliced from 5 exons. Lineage: Eukaryota; Viridiplantae; Streptophyta; Magnoliopsida; Rosales; Rosaceae. The record is from RefSeq and is a predicted model, not a curated record.
UUUGGCUCGAAGUGGAGUGACGCUUUUGCCCUCGCUUGAAAUUUUUUUGCAGCCUCUGCCACCGACCAGGAUAUAUCGCGUCUUUCCCGUUGAUUUCCUCUUUCUUCUACAGUUGUGUACUCCAUCUUUAUCAAAUCAAGAACGAUCGAGAGAUAAAGAAAUUGGGUGCGUUUCUUUGCUUUGCACGAAGAGAUAGAGAGGGAGAUCGGGGGAAAAUCCCUAAAGCACAGAGUCGUCGCCGAGUCAAUCAAAUUGAAUCCGAUAAUUUCAGGCUAGGGUUCCAAAGUUUGAACCUUUAAUCUGAUUUUAUGCAAAAAAGUGUACGUAUCAUUGCAGUGUCGCGGUUCCUUGGUCUGCUAUUUAGCAUUGUCUCCAUCUUUUAUUCUUAUUCAGGUGUAAACCUUGAAUUUUUGUUGGAUUUUGGGAACAGUGUGCUGUCGGACAGUUUAAUUGUAUUCAGCAUCAAUCUGGAUUUAUUGCAGAAGAGGUGUAGAGAGAGAGAGAGAGGUAUCUGCGUCUGCAAUAGUUGCAGAAAGUGGAAGGAGGUUUUCUAAGUUUGGGAUUUUAGUGAUUGAUUGGGAGAGGUUGAAGGUAAUAUCGAUCUUACUCGAACAAGUGUGUCGGUCAAGCUGUUGGGUGCGAAGGUAGUUGAUAGAAGGUAAUUUAGAAAAAAGAAGAAGAGGAAUUCUGUCUUUUGCUUUUGUCUAAUAUCGGUGCUGCAACUAAAUUUGGAUUGUCUGAUAUCGCUUGAGGAGGGAUCAGAUUGGCUAGAUUCCAUACUCCUGGAAUGAAGUUUUAGGCUUUGAUUUUGUUUCUUAGUAUUAACGUUUCGUUCAACCUUUAAACCAAGAGAAAAUUAAUAGACAGAGAAGAAAUUUGGUCGUCUAGAAGCCUUGUUUUGUUGUCUUUGUGUGUAAUUUAAUUGAUGGUCUAGGUGCGUUUUGUGAAACAUACAUAUGUUUUGGUUACAAUUGGAAUUUUGUCAUUUGUUUUUGUUGGGUUUUUUAUUUUUUAUUUUUAUUAUUUAUUAACUUGGA